UAGGGAAUCUUCCACAAUGGACGCAAGUCUGAUGGAGCAACGCCGCGUGAGUGAAGAAGAUCUUCGGAUCGUAAAACCCUGUUGUUAGAGAAGAACACGAGUGAGAGUAACUGUUCAUUCGAUGACGGUAUCUAACCAGCAAGUCACGGCUAACUACGUGC
Molecule: ribosomal RNA, 161 nt
Filed under: uncultured bacterium
Lineage: Bacteria
Description: partial 16S rRNA
Rfam family: Bacterial small subunit ribosomal RNA
Source: RNAcentral